RNAcentral lists this ribosomal RNA (253 nucleotides) under uncultured bacterium. RNAcentral describes it as "partial 16S ribosomal RNA". It matches the Rfam family "Bacterial small subunit ribosomal RNA", at positions 524 to 776 of the family's 1533-position model. The record is from RNAcentral.
UACGUAGGGGGCAAGCGUUGUCCGGAAUCAUUGGGCGCAAAGCGCGUGUAGGCGGCUGGCUAAGUCCGCUCUGAAAGCCCGGGGCUCAACCCCGGGAGGCGGGUGGAUACUGGUCAGCUCGAGUCCGGAAGAGGAGUGUGGAAUUCCUGGUGUAGCGGUGAAAUGCGCAGAUAUCAGGAGGAACACCAAUGGCGAAGGCAGCACUCUGGGACGGUACUGACGCUGAGACGCGAAAGCGUGGGGAGCAAACAGG